Molecule: transfer RNA, 67 nt
Filed under: Parocnus serus
Lineage: Eukaryota; Metazoa; Chordata; Mammalia; Pilosa; Megalonychidae
Description: tRNA-Ile
Source: RNAcentral
AAAUAUGUCUGAUAAAAGAAUUACUUUGAUAGAGUAAACGAUAGAGGUUACAGCCCUCUUGUUUCUA